RNAcentral lists this ribosomal RNA (591 nucleotides) under Triticum aestivum (bread wheat). RNAcentral describes it as "partial small subunit ribosomal RNA". Lineage: Eukaryota; Viridiplantae; Streptophyta; Magnoliopsida; Poales; Poaceae. The record is from RNAcentral.
AUGUUCUGGCCAGUUGAUGCACAAAGGGUCCUUGCAAUUUCUUUGUCACAACAUGAUAUGUCGGAUUUUGUCGCUCGGAGCUAUUCAAAGAAUGGAACUUUUUCUGUUCGAUCAGCCUAUGCAGUGCAAUGGGAACACCAACACGGGGGAAAAUUAAGACACCAACACCAACAUAUGACUAUCAGUCCUAUUUGGAGUGAGAUUUGGAAAUUAUCAUGUCCAUCAAAGGUUAAAAUUUUCAUUUGGUGCACACUGCAUGGCACCCUCCCGUGUAGAGUUAAUUUGGUGAAUAGACAUAUAAAGAUUACCCCCAAUUGUCCGGCAUGUUCCUUUGGAUCAGAGGAUACAAAGCAUAUAUUAUUUCAAUGUCAGAAAGCCAAGGAGGUUUGGAAAAAACUAGGUCUAGAUCAGGUCAUUAAAAGAGCGUGCGAAGUUGAUUAUGCUGGUGAGGCGGUGCUUGAAUUUUUGCUUUCUAUGCCUGAACGGGAGCUUACGAUCUUGGGUAUUCCGAAUGUCCGUGAAUUAAUUGCAAUUUGAACUUGGUAUUUAUGGAAGGAGAGGCAAAAACUGGUCCAUAAGGAGAAAACUUGA